Molecule: long non-coding RNA, 1135 nt
Filed under: Cyanistes caeruleus (blue tit)
Lineage: Eukaryota; Metazoa; Chordata; Aves; Passeriformes; Paridae
Description: lncRNA (ENSCCEG00000023759.1)
Source: RNAcentral
GAAGUGAGUAAAAUGAUGCUGAAAAAAUAAUUCUCAGGUGUAAAAAUAGAGGGAUGUGAAAACAGGACAAAUCUAAAUCUAAAAAUGAUAUAAAUUUUUGGUACUAAUUGCUAAAAUUACUCUUUGUUACCAGUUUUAUUAGAAAUAGUUCUAAUUCUUGCUGCAUUAACAAAGAAAGGAACAAAGACCUAGAAAACUGCAGUGCUGCUGGCUGUCCUAAGGCAAAGUGAAGCUGUUAAAUUUCAGGUUACAAAUACACACAGGGGCUCAUUUUCCAGACACACAUUUUGGACUUCAGCCAACCUUUGCUUAGAAAUACUGCAUGGAAUAACCUUUGGGCUUGAUUUUUAUCUGUUGCACAAGCAGACUUAAAGCCUCUCCAUUUCCUGCUCACCAAUGGAAUUGGAAUAAGACCCAGAGUUUUGGCUACCCUGGAUUUUCUAUUUCAAACCUGGUAACUUUAAGUUGUGGUAUUACACUAAGAAUAGAAAUAAUUUUUCCCUCUGCCUUAUUUUGGUUGUUCUGGGACACAUUCUGCCCUGUAUUGAUAAGAGUUUAAAAAUAAGUCUAGUCAAACAUAAAAAUAUUUUUGUGAGAGGAAAGCACACGUUUGUUUUACGGAGAAUGUAAAUAUUAGUGUCCUUUAGAAAACAAAUAAGUUCAAAGGUGUAGAGGGGUAAAUAUUUUUCCUCGUAUUAAUUCUGUAUUUCAGUUUUCCAGCCAGGCCUGUCUCAGCAUUAAAGCUUUUACCUCCAUCUCUUACAGCAGGCACAGGCCCACCUUCCCCAAGUUCUAGUGAUAGCUUUGAGCUAAAAUUUCUUUGUGUGACUUAUCUGCAUGGACCUCAUCAAAGCCUUCAGGCACCAUCUACCAGGGGGUACAACCAGCCUUCUGAUCCAGGUGCCCGAGGAUGGGUACCCCUCAGGAGACACGGGAAACCUUGGGGGCCUUGAGGGAACGUGGAGCUCAGCACCAGUGUUGACAGUGUGCAAGGACCUCGUGGAAGAAGGUACGUGUACACACACACACACACACACACACACACACACACAGUCACUGUUUUCGUUUCCUCUGGUGCGCUGCUGAAGGCUGGAGGAUGCACGCCUGGGUGAUUUUAAAGAAAUCUAAGUGUUUC